GAUGAACGCUGGCGGCGUGCCUAAUACAUGCAAGUCGAGCGAACGGACGAGAAGCUUGCUUUUCUGAUGUUAGCGGCGGACGGGUGAGUAACACGUGGAUAACCUACCUAUAAGACUGGGAUAACUUCGGGAAACCGGAGCUAACACCGGAUAAUAUUUUGAACCGCAUGGUUCAAAAGUGAAAGACGGUCUUGCUGUCACUUAUAGAUGGAUCCGCGCUGCAUUAGCUAGUUGGUAAGGUAACGGCUUACCAAGGCAACGAUGCAUAGCCGACCUGAGAGGGUGAUCGGCCACACUGGAACUGAGACACGGUCCAGACUCCUACGGGAGGCAGCAGUAGGGAAUCUUCCGCAAUGGGCGAAAGCCUGACGGAGCAACGCCGCGUGAGUGAUGAAGGUCUUCGGAUCGUAAAACUCUGUUAUUAGGGAAGAACAUAUGUGUAAGUAACUGUGCACAUCUUGACGGUACCUAAUCAGAAAGCCACGGCUAACUACGUG
RNAcentral lists this ribosomal RNA (497 nucleotides) under uncultured bacterium. RNAcentral describes it as "partial 16S ribosomal RNA". It matches the Rfam family "Bacterial small subunit ribosomal RNA", at positions 28 to 507 of the family's 1533-position model. The record is from RNAcentral.